Long non-coding RNA from Lactuca sativa (garden lettuce), 707 nucleotides. RefSeq lists it as uncharacterized. The record is from RefSeq and is a predicted model, not a curated record. NCBI's taxonomy places the organism in Eukaryota, Viridiplantae, Streptophyta, Magnoliopsida, Asterales, Asteraceae.
UCAUGAAUCUCGAUUGUACAAUUCAAUCUCUGCCAAAACUGCCAAAAUCCACAGCUGUAAAAGAGAUGUAGAGAAGCUUCAUAAUAUCUCAUUCCUAUUUGAAGGCCCCACUCAUUUUCUAUCACCUGCCCAUACCUCUUACUUCCGUAUCUUCUCCAAUAAACAGAGAAGAGAUUCAACAGCUAUUAGAGUUGUUUUCCCCAUCUCAAACCCAGUUCCUUUACCUUCUCUUUCUCCAAUGGCAAACCAACCCAAAAGCUCCCUGAUCACCACCGAUUCCAGUUGAAGCAAAUCCCUGACCAUAAACAGGCCUGUAGGCGCAGCUUACCAGAGAAAAAGAAGCAGCGACUACUUCCAUUUUUCCCUCCUGCCUUCAUUUGUUCGACUAUCAAACAACUUCCACACAUCUUUUCCUUGCUCCUCCAUCGAUCUCAGGUCGACUCCAAGAUUCCCGUUCCAAAUCCCGCUUAGAACAGGAGCUUCCCGACACUUCCGACUCUCAAAACCAACGAAAUUAAGGCAAGAAAUUCACGCGAGGAGUAUGGAAUCAUCGUCUUAUAUUUUUGUUCUAAAUUAUGUUUUAUGUCCUCUUUUUGAAUCGUUGAAGAUUUGUCAUGAAACAUGUAACAAAGUAAGAUAUAAUUAUGUCGUAUGUGAUGUAAAACUUUAAGUGGUUGUUUAAUGUUUGAUAUAUGCUAUGUUUGUGA